This 460-nucleotide ribosomal RNA is filed under the name uncultured bacterium. RNAcentral describes it as "partial 16S ribosomal RNA". It matches the Rfam family "Bacterial small subunit ribosomal RNA", at positions 338 to 795 of the family's 1533-position model. The record is from RNAcentral.
CCUACGGGUGGCAGCAGUGAGGAAUAUUGGUCAAUGGGCGCGAGCCUGAACCAGCCAAGUCGCGUGAAGGAUGACUGCCCUACGGGUUGUAAACUUCUUUUAUAAAGGAAUAAAGUGAGGCACGUGUGCCUUUUUGUAUGUACUUUAUGAAUAAGGAUCGGCUAACUCCGUGCCAGCAGCCGCGGUAAUACGGAGGAUCCGAGCGUUAUCCGGAUUUAUUGGGUUUAAAGGGUGCGUAGAUGGGUUGUUAAGUCAGUUGUGAAAGGUUGCGGCUCAACCGUAAAAUUGCAUUUGAUACUGGCAGUCUUGAGUACAGUUGAGGUAGGCGGAAUUCGUGGUGUAGCGGUGAAAUGCUUAGAUAUCACGAAGAACUCCGAUUGCGAAGGCAGCUUACUAACCGGGCACUGACACUGAGGCUCGAAAGUGUGGGUAUCAAACAGGAUUAGAUACCCCUGUAGUC